RNAcentral lists this ribosomal RNA (249 nucleotides) under uncultured Actinomycetales bacterium. Its description in RNAcentral is "partial 16S ribosomal RNA". It matches the Rfam family "Bacterial small subunit ribosomal RNA", at positions 84 to 334 of the family's 1533-position model. Lineage: Bacteria; Bacillati; Actinomycetota; Actinomycetes; Actinomycetales. The record is from RNAcentral.
GGGGUGCUCGAGUGGCGAACGGGUGAGUAACACGUGAGUAACCUGCCCUUGACUUUGGGAUAACUUCAGGAAACUGGGGCUAAUACCGGAUAGGAGCUCCUGCUGCAUGGUGGGGUUUGGAAAGUUUCGGCGGUUGGGGAUGGACUCGCGGCUUAUCAGCUUGUUGGUGGGGUAGUGGCUUACCAAGGCUUUGACGGGUAGCCGGCCUGAGAGGGUGACCGGCCACAUUGGGACUGAGAUACGGCCCAG